UUCCCGAAAAAACUGUUGUGUGAGGUAAUGGGAAAGUCUUUUAUGUCCAGUAAACCUGAGGUAUAGAGAUACCACACUUACAGAAUGUGACAGAGAAAGAAGAGGAGGAAAAAAGAGAUUAAAAGACUGAUCACAGCGUUCCUGCAGCAAGCUCACAAGUUGAUGUCUCGUACAUCGGUUGGGGUGCUGGACUGGUCUUGGUCAUCAAGUGCUUUGCUGCGCGGGCCACCCUGUUCCUGCUGCUGCUGUUUCUGCUGUUGCCGGCGGCCCUCCCUCAGGAACUGACAAGAUCUAAAUAUCAUCAUGUGAAGACACAGUGUCCUGGGGCUAAUAUUCUUUAUCCACCAUUCAGAAAAAAGUUCUAAAAAAAAAGAUUUACUGGAGAUAAGGGGUGGUGCCUGAUGUGAACAUGAAGCCUGAUGACAUUUUGCAACCACACAACUCAAUAAAAACCAUUGACUCCUGGUACACCAAGAGGGGUAUGAUGGAAUGUAAACUAUGAGCAGAGGCGUUCCCCAAAAGAAAACCAAUUACAUACUAAUAUGGAAAUGAACCUUUGUGUUCCAAAUGAUCUGUAAAGUUUGGCCAGUAAAAAGUAGUGUGCAUGAUCA
Cyprinus carpio (common carp) is the source of this 611-nucleotide long non-coding RNA. RefSeq lists it as uncharacterized. The transcript has 4 exons. Lineage: Eukaryota; Metazoa; Chordata; Actinopteri; Cypriniformes; Cyprinidae. The record is from RefSeq and is a predicted model, not a curated record.